GAUGAAUGCUGGCGGCGUGCCUAACACAUGCAAGUCGAGCGGCAGCGAGGGGUGCUUGCACCCUGUCGGCGAGCGGCGAACGGCUGAGUAACGCGUAGGAAUUUGCCCCAAAGUGAGGAAUAACUGCCCGAAAGGGUAGCUAAUGCCGCAUAUGGUCUUCGGAUUAAAGGAUUUAUCCGCUUUGGGAGAAGCCUGCGUUGGAUUAGGUUGUUGGUAGGGUAAUGGCCUACCAAGCCGACGAUCCAUAGCUGGUCUGAGAGGAUGAUCAGCCAGACUGGAACUGAGACACGGUCCAGACUCCUACGGGAGGCAGCAGUGAGGAAUCUUCCACAAUGGGCGAAAGCCUGAUGGAGCAACGCCGCGUGAAGGAUGAAGGCCUUCGGGUUGUAAACUUCUUUUAUGAGUGAAGAAUAUGACGGUAACUCAUGAAUAAGCACCGGCUAACUACGUG
This 451-nucleotide ribosomal RNA is filed under the name uncultured bacterium. Its description in RNAcentral is "partial 16S ribosomal RNA". It matches the Rfam family "Bacterial small subunit ribosomal RNA", at positions 28 to 507 of the family's 1533-position model. The record is from RNAcentral.